UUAAGCGACUAAGCGUACACGGUGGAUGCCCUGGCAGUCAGAGGCGAUGAAGGACGUGCUAAUCUGCGAAAAGCGUCGGUAAGGUGAUAUGAACCGUUAUAACCGGCGAUGUCCGAAUGGGGAAACCCAGUGUGAUUCGUCACACUAUCGUUAACUGAAUACAUAGGUUAACGAGGCGAACCGGGGGAACUGAAACAUCUAAGUACCCCGAGGAAAAGAAAUCAACCGAGAUUCCCCCAGUAGCGGCGAGCGAACGGGGAGCAGCCCAGAGUCUGAAUCAGCUUGUGUGUUAGUGGAACGGUCUGGAAAGUCCGACGGUACAGGGUGAUAGUCCCGUACACCAAAAUGCACAGGCUGUGAACUCGAAGAGUAGGGCGGGACACGUGGUAUCCUGUCUGAAUAUGGGGGGACCAUCCUCCAAGGCUAAAUACUCCUGACUGACCGAUAGUGAACCAGUACCGUGAGGGAAAGGCGAAAAGAACCCCGGCGAGGGGAGUGAAAAAGAACCUGAAACCGUGUACGUACAAGCAGUGGGAGCACCUUUAUGGUGUGACUGCGUACCUUUUGUAUAAUGGGUCAGCGACUUAUAUUCUGUAGCAAGGUUAACCGUAUAGGGGAGCCGCAGGGAAACCGAGUCUUAACUGGGCGUUAAGUUGCAGGGUAUAGACCCGAAACCCGGUGAUCUAGCCAUGGGCAGGUUGAAGGUUGGGUAACACUAACUGGAGGACCGAACCGACUAAUGUUGAAAAAUUAGCGGAUGACUUGUGGCUGGGGGUGAAAGGCCAAUCAAACCGGGAGAUAGCUGGUUCUCCCCGAAAGCUAUUUAGGUAGCGCCUCGUGAACUCAUCUUCGGGGGUAGAGCACUGUUUCGGCUAGGGGGUCAUCCCGACUUACCAACCCGAUGCAAACUACGAAUACCGAAGAAUGUUAUCACGGGAGACACACGGCGGGUGCUAACGUCCGUCGUGAAGAGGGAAACAACCCAGACCGCCAGCUAAGGUCCCAAAGUCAUGGUUAAGUGGGAAACGAUGUGGGAAGGCACAGACAGCCAGGAUGUUGGCUUAGAAGCAGCCAUCAUUUAAAGAAAGCGUAAUAGCUCACUGGUCGAGUCGGCCUGCGCGGAAGAUGUAACGGGGCUAAACCAUGCACCGAAGCUGCGGCAGCGACACUAUGUGUUGUUGGGUAGGGGAGCGUUCUGUAAGCCUGCGAAGGUGACCUGUGAGGGUUGCUGGAGGUAUCAGAAGUGCGAAUGCUGACAUAAGUAACGAUAAAGCGGGUGAAAAGCCCGCUCGCCGGAAGACCAAGGGUUCCUGUCCAACGUUAAUCGGGGCAGGGUGAGUCGACCCCUAAGGCGAGGCCGAAAGGCGUAGUCGAUGGGAAACAGGUUAAUAUUCCUGUACUUGGUGUUACUGCGAAGGGGGGACGGAGAAGGCUAUGUUAGCCGGGCGACGGUUGUCCCGGUUUAAGCAUGUAGGCUGAUUAUCCAGGCAAAUCCGGAUAAUCAAGGCUGAGGUGUGAUGACGAGGCACUACGGUGCUGAAGUAACAAAUGCCCUGCUUCCAGGAAAAGCCUCUAAGCAUCAGGUAACAUCAAAUCGUACCCCAAACCGACACAGGUGGUCAGGUAGAGAAUACCAAGGCGCUUGAGAGAACUCGGGUGAAGGAACUAGGCAAAAUGGUGCCGUAACUUCGGGAGAAGGCACGCUGGUGUGUAGGUGAAGUCCCUGCGGAUGGAGCUGAGACCAGUCGAAGAUACCAGCUGGCUGCAACUGUUUAUUAAAAACACAGCACUGUGCAAACACGAAAGUGGACGUAUACGGUGUGACGCCUGCCCGGUGCCGGAAGGUUAAUUGAUGGGGUUAUCCGUAAGGAGAAGCUCUUGAUCGAAGCCCCGGUAAACGGCGGCCGUAACUAUAACGGUCCUAAGGUAGCGAAAUUCCUUGUCGGGUAAGUUCCGACCUGCACGAAUGGCGUAAUGAUGGCCAGGCUGUCUCCACCCGAGACUCAGUGAAAUUGAACUCGCUGUGAAGAUGCAGUGUACCCGCGGCAAGACGGAAAGACCCCGUGAACCUUUACUAUAGCUUGACACUGAACAUUGAGCCUUGAUGUGUAGGAUAGGUGGGAGGCUUUGAAGCGUGGACGCCAGUCUGCGUGGAGCCAACCUUGAAAUACCACCCUUUAAUGUUUGAUGUUCUAACGUUGGCCCCUGACCGGGGUUGCGGACAGUGUCUGGUGGGUAGUUUGACUGGGGCGGUCUCCUCCCAAAGCGUAACGGAGGAGCACGAAGGUUAGCUAAUCCUGGUCGGACAUCAGGAGGUUAGUGCAAUGGCAUAAGCUAGCUUGACUGCGAGCGUGACGGCGCGAGCAGGUGCGAAAGCAGGUCAUAGUGAUCCGGUGGUUCUGAAUGGAAGGGCCAUCGCUCAACGGAUAAAAGGUACUCCGGGGAUAACAGGCUGAUACCGCCCAAGAGUUCAUAUCGACGGCGGUGUUUGGCACCUCGAUGUCGGCUCAUCACAUCCUGGGGCUGAAGUAGGUCCCAAGGGUAUGGCUGUUCGCCAUUUAAAGUGGUACGCGAGCUGGGUUUAGAACGUCGUGAGACAGUUCGGUCCCUAUCUGCCGUGGGCGCUGGAGAAUUGAGGGGGGCUGCUCCUAGUACGAGAGGACCGGAGUGGACGCAUCACUGGUGUUCGGGUUGUCAUGCCAAUGGCACUGCCCGGUAGCUAAAUGCGGAAGAGAUAAGUGCUGAAAGCAUCUAAGCACGAAACUUGCCCCGAGAUGAGUUCUCCCUGAGACUUUAAGUCUCCUGAAGGAACGUUAAAGACGAUGACGUUGAUAGGCCGGGUGUGUAAGCGCAGCGAUGCGUUGAGCUAACCGGUACUAAUGAACCGUGAGGCUUAACCUU
This 2901-nucleotide ribosomal RNA is filed under the name Klebsiella quasipneumoniae. RNAcentral's name for it is "23S ribosomal RNA". It matches the Rfam family "Bacterial large subunit ribosomal RNA". Lineage: Bacteria; Pseudomonadati; Pseudomonadota; Gammaproteobacteria; Enterobacterales; Enterobacteriaceae. The record is from RNAcentral.